RNAcentral lists this long non-coding RNA (872 nucleotides) under Phasianus colchicus (ring-necked pheasant). RNAcentral's name for it is "lncRNA (ENSPCLG00000020296.1)". Lineage: Eukaryota; Metazoa; Chordata; Aves; Galliformes; Phasianidae. The record is from RNAcentral.
AUUCAGCUGAGAUUACUGUCCUCUCCCAUCUGUCAAGAUGAAGUUGAGACAGUUGGAUUCAAUCAGUCUCUUCUUACAAGGACUCACAAUCAUUUUCUAAGGCAUAAGAUUUUGAGAUAGUAAUCUGCUGCAUUACCCAGAUUUUAGACAGAGGAUUUUUGAAGAGGCCCCGGGAGUUUCUUCAAUCCCAAUGGAAGAGGAAAGAAGCAAAUGGCAGCUAUAGCUGAAGCCUGGAAUCUUGGGUCUAAAAUACAGAAGACAAUAAGUAGAUCGAGUCCAGUUCUUCAUCCGAGUCCUCAAAGCAGCAGCGCAAGAACCGGGGUAGUGGCAAACCUAGUGAAACCACCAGACAGUGGCCCUCUGGACCUCUUCACAGACUCACUUGGUAAAGGACAAAGAGAAGCAAAGCAAAUAGAAGCAGAUGAAAUAACAAUUAUCAAUGCAGUAACUGGGCAGGAGCUGAAACUUGCAAACUUGAUGCUUGAAAAGUACCUAGCACUAAACCGUGGAAGAGCAAGAUAAUGGAGACUUCAUCUAGUUUACAGCUAAUCUAAAUGGGAAAGUUGUUGGGCUGUACAGAACUGUUCCCCUCAAGAGCUCUAAGGCAUGGAAUACUAUAAUCCCCUGGUAUUAGGUAGAGAACUAGUUCUUUGAAAUCAGUAUUUACAGUUCUGGAUUUAUUUAUUUGAAUAUUUUUUUUAAUGCUUUUAUUUCAGACUUUAGGAAAAUGUGAUUAAUGCUGCUCGUUGUUAUCUCUUGCAAAGAGUUAUUUAAUCAUAUUUAAACCCAUACUAGUGUCACAUUAAAGUAUGUAUCUCUUAAAAAGUGCUCACAGCACUUUUGUCAAAUAAAAUAUAUGUUAUGCAUGUACA